GGCUCAGAACGAACGCUGGCGGCAGGCUUAACACAUGCAAGUCGAGCGCGUGUAGCAAUACACGAGCGGCGCACGGGUGAGUAACGCGUGGAUAUCUGCCUUUUGGUUCGGAAUAACCCCGGGAAACUGGGGCUAAUACCGAAUGGUUCCUACGGGAUAAAGAUUUAUCGCCAAAAGAUGAGUCCGCGUCCGAUUAGCUAGUUGGUGAGGUAACGGCUCACCAAGGCGACGAUCGGUAGCUGGUCUGAGAGGACGAUCAGCCACACUGGGACUGAGACACGGCCCAGACUCCUACGGGAGGCAGCAGUGGG
This 311-nucleotide ribosomal RNA is filed under the name uncultured Alphaproteobacteria bacterium. RNAcentral's name for it is "bacterial SSU rRNA". It matches the Rfam family "Bacterial small subunit ribosomal RNA", at positions 21 to 358 of the family's 1533-position model. Lineage: Bacteria; Pseudomonadati; Pseudomonadota; Alphaproteobacteria. The record is from RNAcentral.